RNAcentral lists this long non-coding RNA (1510 nucleotides) under Homo sapiens (human). RNAcentral describes it as "long intergenic non-protein coding RNA 458". Lineage: Eukaryota; Metazoa; Chordata; Mammalia; Primates; Hominidae. The record is from RNAcentral.
GGGGCUUCCGAGGCGAUUGGGCAGUGUCAGUCUUCAGCCGCUAAGCCGAGAAGACCUGGGAAGGAGUCAGUCAGAGAGGCUUGGGCCAGAGUUCCAGGGGCUCUGGGAGUGGCUGCCAGGAACGCGCAUGAAAAAACCAAACAAACAAAAAAAUUUCUUUUGGUAGCAGAAUAAAAAAACAAAAAAAAGGACUUUUUCUUCUGGACUGAACUAUAUUUAAAUCUCAAAGGAUGGACAUCUCACAACCUUCCUACAGCAAGUACUGUGAGAUGCAGCAAGAAGGCCCUCAACAGACACCAGAUGCCAGCAUCCUGAUUCUGGACUUCUAGCCUCCAGAACUCCUAUCAUCUGGAACAGGAAAGGAGACAUACCUUCAUUGAAUGAGUGAUGAAAAAUACUGUUGGGCAAGUUAGUUGGAGUUGUCGAUUGGGAUUAUGUUCCACAGCCCUUCUGUCAAGUGAAAGGCUUUUGUAUCUGCUGUCUCCUUGGCCUAGAAAGUUUGUCUCCACAUUGACCUACUUUCUUCCAGUCGCCCUUCAGAUCUCAGGAAAAAAAUUGAAAUACACUUUUGAGACUGUCAAUAUCUUCCAUCAGGAAUAUAGGAGUUGACAGCAGCAAAAUUACAGAAUCAGAGAAGCCAGAAACAUUAAAGUGGAACUGGAUGACAUCCUUAGGACCAUGAUUUUCAAGAGUGGCAUGGAAUCUUCUGCAUAUCAAAUUAGUCAUCAGGUCAAAUUGCAAGUGAAUUCAGCUCCUGUGUAAAACUUCAGAAUUCCCACAGAGAGGACUUGGAAAGCAAAGCACUAAAAGAAGAUAUGAAAAGUUACUGAUGUAUAUGAGUUUGCUUCGAAUAAGGGAAAGUGCUGUACUUUUCUUCACAAUCUUAGGGACCAAGCUAUUUUCUCAAGCACCUUACAGUCUUACCUUUCUGGAACAGCAGGUGCAAGACAAAGAAAAAGUACAUAAUGAGUGUAACACCAUAUUCUUUAACUUCUAAGUGUGGCAUCUCAGAGUCCUGAUCAUUUUACCUAUGAGUUCAUAACAGGCUGUUCCUGAGAAAGCUUCAAAGAAUGUGUUAGUUUUAAAGAUCAUCUGGAUGGGAAUGCUUCUAGAGACUGCCUACAGUCCUUGGCUUAUGGACCUGUCCAUCUUGAAAACCAACAAUGUCUAGUGGAAUCUUUCUUGUAUCCCAUUGCUCUGACACUGACUCUUCUGACUCCCUCACUAUGUUUGGGAUCACUCCUGUUUACAGUGGCCCAUCUCAAUAAUCCAGAUAAAUCUCCCUAUUUAAUGUCACCUGAUUAGCAACCUUAACUUCCCUUUGCUAUAUAACAUAAAAUACCCAUAGUUUCUGGGGACCAGGAUAUAGAAAUCUUUGGGGGACUAUUAUUGCCCACCACAGAUGGCAAUACUCUCCAAAUAUAUUUAGAGAUUUAGUGUAAUCCCUAUCAAGAUCUCAGUUGGCUUUUUUCAAAUUUACAAGCUGAUCUUAAAAUUCAUAUGAAAAUAG